GCCGAUGUAACUCAGUCUGGUUAGAGUGCUACGCUCAUAACGUAGAAGCCGGGGGUUCAGAUCCCCCCAUCGGCA
This 75-nucleotide transfer RNA is filed under the name Candidatus Woesearchaeota archaeon. RNAcentral describes it as "tRNA-Met". It matches the Rfam family "tRNA". From Rfam's summary of the family: Transfer RNA (tRNA) molecules are approximately 80 nucleotides in length. Their secondary structure includes four short double-helical elements and three loops (D, anti-codon, and T loops). The record is from RNAcentral. Lineage: Archaea; Nanobdellati; Candidatus Woesearchaeota.